RNAcentral lists this long non-coding RNA (1390 nucleotides) under Phascolarctos cinereus (koala). RNAcentral describes it as "lncRNA (ENSPCIG00000013944.2)". Lineage: Eukaryota; Metazoa; Chordata; Mammalia; Diprotodontia; Phascolarctidae. The record is from RNAcentral.
AUGGCCUUUGCUGCGUCUUUGAAUCACUUCAGUUGUUGCCAUCAGGAGAAUGAGCCCUGGAAUGGGAAAAUCUGCAUUAGAGGAUUUCAUCCAUGGCACAUCCCCAACCUUGGAGUAUUUUCCCUGCUGGCUGUGAGAUCACUAUACAGGAAUACUAUAGAGGCAAGCUCCAAAAAUGUUAUGCAAUUUCAUAGGGUCAAGAUUUGGACCUGGAAAGGACCUCAAAGGUUAUCUAAGAAGAAUGGAAAUGUUUCAAUAAUGCAGGCUGUCUCCUUUGACUAUCAGUUAACCCUUCCAUUCGCUACUUGGCUUAACUGGGUCAAAUCUAGGCUUGCGCCAUUCUGUUUCAAAGUCCUUCAAACCUACCCCGAAUCAGUCUGCUCAAUUUAACUGCUUAUCUCUUCUCAGACUAAUGAUCUUCUUCCAAACCUCCUCCUGUCCUGGGGAAUAGUCUCCCCAGCCCUGGUCACCUGUUUCUUUUCCGUCAUUCACAUCCAUACAAAUGGCUCAGAUUUCUCUAGCUUGGAGACCAAAUUGGAUCACAGAAUUUGGAACUCAAAGGAUAUUUAGAGCUAAUCAAUCGGGUCCAGCCUUUUCAUUUCACAGAUGGGGAAGCCGGGACCUAGAGAAACCAAGUAGCUUGCUUAUAAUCACAAAGGUAGUAAAAUAGCAGGGUCAGGUCAUGAAACCAGGUCCUUUGACUUCAAAUUCAUUUUUAUUUCUACUCUGGUAAGUCACCUCUCAAUCAUCUUUAAGCAAAAGAGCCAUAUCACUGCUAGGAGCCCUACAGAAUCUGGUCAUACGUGAUAACUAUCUGUAUAUGAAAUAACCAUAAAUGGCUCAACCACUUUAGUUUGACGACCCUCGAUUCAAACAAUCCUAAAGUCCACCUUUUUCCAUAAAGUCUACCCUAAUUGCUGGGAGGAAAGGUGAUGGUUUCCCCCAAUUCCUUAUCAAACAAUCUCUUUGCUUCCUUGUGCCCCACUUGGCAUAGCGGAUACAAUAUUAAAAGUAGAGUCAGGAAGUCUUGGGUUUGAAUCCUGUCACUAAUCCUUACUAGCUGACUGACCUUGAAUAUAUUAUUUAACUUUGCCAAGGCUCAGUUUCCUAAUCUGUGAAAUGGGGAUAAGAAUAACACCUACGAUUCAUAUAAAUGGAUAGAAAGUCAAGUAAGCAGAACCAAGAAAACAACAUACACAACGACCACAAAAAUGUAGGUGGAAAGAACAACAUCACCACAAUCAAGAUGGAACGCUGUGAAAUUAUGAUGACCCAGCUUGGCCCCAAAGAAGAAAAAGGGGACUGUACCUUCCUCCCUUCUUUGCAGAGGUGGUGGACCACAGUUGUGGAAUGCUACAUCUCAUGUCAGACUUGGCUGAUCUUGGCUGGU